This 957-nucleotide ribosomal RNA is filed under the name [Candida] sp. L1c. RNAcentral describes it as "SSU rRNA". It matches the Rfam family "Eukaryotic small subunit ribosomal RNA", at positions 64 to 1029 of the family's 1831-position model. The record is from RNAcentral. Lineage: Eukaryota; Fungi; Ascomycota; Saccharomycetes; Saccharomycetales.
UAUAAGCAAUCUAUACAGUGAAACUGCGAAUGGCUCAUUAAAUCAGUUAUCGUUUAUUUGAUAGUACAUUACUACUUGGAUAACCGUGGUAAUUCUAGAGCUAAUACAUGCUAAAAAUCCCUUCCUUUGGUUGGGAUGUAUUUAUUAGAUAAAAAACCAAUGUCUUCGGACUCUUUGGUGAUUCAUAAUAACUUUUCGAAUCGCAUAGCCUUGUGCUGGCGAUGGUUCAUUCAAAUUUCUGCCCUAUCAACUUUCGAUGGUAGGAUAGUGGCCUACCAUGGUUUCAACGGGUGACGGGGAAUCAGGGUUCUAUUCCGGAGAGGGAGCCUGAGAAACGGCUACCACAUCCAAGGAAGGCAGCAGGCGCGCAAAUUACCCAAUCCUAAUACGGGGAGGUAGUGACAAUAAAUAACGAUACAGGGCUUUUUAAGUCUUGUAAUUGGAAUGAGAACAAUUUAAAUACCUUAACGAGGAACAAUUGGAGGGCAAGUCUGGUGCCAGCAGCCGCGGUAAUUCCAGCUCCAAUAGCGUAUAUUAAAGUUGUUGCAGUUAAAAAGCUCGUAGUUGAACCUUGGACUUGAUCUGCUGGUCCACCGUUUGGUGAGUACUGGUUUAGAUCGAGUCUUUCCUCCUGAUUAGCUAUAGUUACCUUUAUUGGUUAUUAUAGUGACUCAGGACUUUUACUUUGAAAAAAUUAGAGUGUUCAAAGCAGGCCUUUGCUCGAAUAUAUUAGCAUGGAAUAAUAGAAUAGGACGUAUGGUUCUAUUUUGUUGGUUUCUAGGACCGUCGUAAUGAUUAAUAGGGACAGUCGGGGGGCAUCAGUAUUCAAUUGUCAGAGGUGAAAUUCUUGGAUUUAUUGAAGACUAACUACUGCGAAAGCAUUUGCCAAGGAUGUUUUCAUUAAUCAAGAACGAAAGUUAGGGGAUCGAAGACGAUCAGAUACCGUCGUAGUCUUAA